CCUGAAUUCGAAAGGGAUUGGAUUCAAGUCCAUCCGAGUGAUUACGGAUCGCCCUAGUCAGAUGGCGCCGGUCGCCCGCGGCGAUUAAUUUCGUUUGCGGUGUCGUUCCCGGCGUUCACUCGUCGAGGCGCUGAAUAUCCGGCACCGGUGUACUGCACUUCCCCCCUAGUAGAAACGUCGCGACCCGUUGGGUGCCGGUCUUAAGGCUCGGGAUGGCAGACCAUGUGUCCUGCGGGGGUUCCCGCAGGCGCGCGGACUCUCGAUGACCCGGCCGGCUGCCCGACGGUAUGACCAGAGGAGUCGAUCCGCUGAAUGGGAAACACUGUGGUUGUGUAGCGUCCGGCCCUUCGCUGAUGUGGCACCAGGGUUUGAGGCGAAUGCCGUGGGUUUCCGUGCCUGGCACGGGCUCCCGGCCCUGUUGCGUCUUCCGUGAUGUGGUCUCGGACUGGAUCAGCACUCCCGUCUGCGACGCCCACCUUCGGAUGGUCUCCCG
RNAcentral lists this ribosomal RNA (493 nucleotides) under Lopaphus sp. 2 SB-2021. Its description in RNAcentral is "partial large subunit ribosomal RNA". The record is from RNAcentral. Lineage: Eukaryota; Metazoa; Arthropoda; Insecta; Phasmatodea; Lonchodidae.